CGUAGGGUGCGAGCGUUGUCCGGAAUUACUGGGCGUAAAGAGCUCGUAGGUGGUUUGUCGCGUCGUCUGUGAAAAUUCCGGGGCUUAACUCCGGGCGUGCAGGCGAUACGGGCAAACUGGAGUGCUGUAGGGGAGACUGGAAUUCCUGGUGUAGCGGUGGAAUGCGCAGAUAUCAGGAGGAACACCGAUGGCGAAGGCAGGUCUCUGGGCAGUUACUGACACUGAGGAGCGAAAGCAUGGUAGCGAACAGGAUU
Molecule: ribosomal RNA, 254 nt
Filed under: uncultured bacterium
Lineage: Bacteria
Description: partial 16S ribosomal RNA
Rfam family: Bacterial small subunit ribosomal RNA
Source: RNAcentral